UGCAGUCGACGGCAGCACAGCAGUAGCAAUACUGUGGGUGGCGAGUGGCGGACGGGUGAGGAAUACAUCGGAAUCUACCUUGUCGUGGGGGAUAACGUAGGGAAACUUACGCUAAUACCGCAUACGACCUUCGGGUGAAAGUGGGGGACCGCAAGGCCUCACGCGAUUAGAUGAGCCGAUGUCGGAUUAGCUAGUUGGCGGGGUAAUGGCCCACCAAGGCGACGAUCCGUAGCUGGUCUGAGAGGAUGAUCAGCCACACUGGAACUGAGACACGGUCCAGACUCCUACGGGAGGCAGCAGUGGGGAAUAUUGGACAAUGGGCGCAAGCCUGAUCCAGCCAUACCGCGUGGGUGAAGAAGGCCUUCGGGUUGUAAAGCCCUUUUGUUGGGAAAGAAAUCCUAUCGAUUAAUACUCGGUGGGGAUGACGGUACCCAAAGAAUAAGCACCGGCUAACUUCGUGCCAGCAGCCGCGGUAAUACGAAGGGUGCAAGCGUUACUCGGAAUUACUGGNCGUAAAGCGUGCGNNAGNNGGUUGUNNAANNUCUGUUGUGAAAGCCCUGGGUUCAACCUGGGAAUUGCAGUGGAUACUGGGCGACUAGAGU
Molecule: ribosomal RNA, 602 nt
Filed under: Lysobacteraceae bacterium MR-I8
Lineage: Bacteria; Pseudomonadati; Pseudomonadota; Gammaproteobacteria; Lysobacterales; Lysobacteraceae
Description: bacterial SSU rRNA
Rfam family: Bacterial small subunit ribosomal RNA
Source: RNAcentral